GGGCAUGUAGCUCAGUGGUUAGAGCAUUUGUCUUAUAAACAAAAGGUCCCAGGUUCGAUUCCUGGUAUGCCCACCA
RNAcentral lists this transfer RNA (76 nucleotides) under Candidatus Harrisonbacteria bacterium CG10_big_fil_rev_8_21_14_0_10_42_17. Its description in RNAcentral is "tRNA-Ile". It matches the Rfam family "tRNA". Rfam says of the family: Transfer RNA (tRNA) molecules are approximately 80 nucleotides in length. Their secondary structure includes four short double-helical elements and three loops (D, anti-codon, and T loops). Lineage: Bacteria; Candidatus Harrisoniibacteriota. The record is from RNAcentral.